GUAUGAAUUAGUUAAUAAAAGUAAUUUUAAAGAUAUUAGAGGAAAUUUAGUAUUGUGUAAAGAAAGAUGAAGAUUGAUUUAUAGUAUAAUAGUACUGUUAAGGGAAUUUGAAAUAGUUAUGAAAUAUGUAUUUAAUAAUAAAGUAAAAUUGAAUUUGUACCUUGUGUAUCAGGGUUUAUUAAAUAUAUUAUUAUGAAAAUUAGUUGUCCCGAAGUGAAUAGGAGCGAAGAUUAUAUAAUGAUUAAUGUAGUAUAAUUAUCAGUAAUAUAAUGCUUGGUAAAUGAAAUGUUAGGCGAUUUUUAUGAUAUCUGGUUUUCUAAGAAAUAAAUUGAAUUUAGUUAAUAUUGUGAGUAGUUAUAUUAUUUAGGGAGUAUGCUAUAUAGUAUAGAAAAUAUUUCUUGGGAUAAGCUAAGGAAUAUAUUGGUUAUAAAUAUGUAUUAUUAUAGUGGAAGAUGUAGGCUUUAAAUUAGCUUUUUAUUUAAAAUUGUUAUAAAUUGGUUAAGGUAAAAUAUGAUUUUAUAAAAUUUUUAAUUAGUUUAUUAGAAUAAAUAAGUUAACAGGUAGAAUUGUUGAAUUUAUGGUAAAAUGAGUAUAAAUUAUAUUUGUUUAUGAAGAAUUAAGUAGUUUGUAAAUUUAAAUUAAGGAAUUAGGCAAAUUUUCUAUUCACAUGUUUAUCAAAAACAUCUCUUUUUGGUAAUAAUAAAAAGUAGGGCCUGCCCCCUGAGGAGUUAAAGGGCCGCGGUAAUUUGACCGUGCAAAGGUAGCAAAAUCAUUAGUCUUUUAAUUGGAGGCUGGAAUGAAUGGUUUGAUGAGAUAGAGACUGUCUUGAAUUUAAUUUAUAGAAAUUAACUUUUUAGUAAAAAGGCUAAAAUGGUAGUAUAGGACGAGAAGACCCUAUAGAGUUUUAUUUAAUUUUGAUUUAUUUAUUUUUAGUUUGUUUUUGUAUAUUAAGUUUUAAUUAAAUUAUGUUGGGGCGACAUGAAGGAUGAAUAAACUCUUUAUAUUUAUAUAACCAUAGAUUUAUGAAUUAUUGAUCCAAUUAUAUUGAUUAUAAGUUUAAAUUACCUUAGGGAUAACAGCGUAAUUUUUUUGGAGAGUUCUUAUCGAGAAGAAAGAUUGCGACCUCGAUGUUGGAUUAGGAAAAUUUUUAGGUGGAGCAGUUUAUAGAAUAAGUCUGUUCGACUUUUAAAUUCCUACAUGAUCUGAGUUCAGACCGGCGUGAGCCAGGUCGGUUUCUAUCCUUAUUAAAUUGGAAGACUUUAGUACGAGAGGACCAAGUUUUUAAAAUAGUUUUUGGUAAUAAGAAUGAUAAUAAAUUU
This 1319-nucleotide ribosomal RNA is filed under the name Typhoptera quadrituberculata. RNAcentral's name for it is "16S ribosomal RNA". The stretch from base 604 to 1319 matches the Rfam family "Archaeal large subunit ribosomal RNA", at positions 1423 to 2855 of the family's 2987-position model. The record is from RNAcentral. Lineage: Eukaryota; Metazoa; Arthropoda; Insecta; Orthoptera; Tettigoniidae.